RNAcentral lists this RNase P RNA (316 nucleotides) under Flavobacterium circumlabens. RNAcentral describes it as "RNase P RNA component class A". It matches the Rfam family "Bacterial RNase P class A". From Rfam's summary of the family: Ribonuclease P (RNase P) is a ubiquitous endoribonuclease, found in archaea, bacteria and eukarya as well as chloroplasts and mitochondria. Its best characterised activity is the generation of mature 5'-ends of tRNAs by cleaving the 5'-leader elements of precursor-tRNAs. Lineage: Bacteria; Pseudomonadati; Bacteroidota; Flavobacteriia; Flavobacteriales; Flavobacteriaceae. The record is from RNAcentral.
CGCGCAGACCGCCUUAUCGUCGUUCGCUUCGGCGGAGGGAGGAAAGUCCGGACACCACAGAGAAGCAUAGCGGGUAACACCCGUCGGUCUUAGUAAUAAGGCAAGGACAAGUGCAACAGAAAGUAUGUACAGGUAAUGCUGUAGUGAAACCAGGUAAACUCUAUGCGGUGAAAUACCAAGUAUAUCAGCAUUUAAGGGCUUCUCGUUCGUUGUUGAAGGGUAGGUAGCUCGAGCUUAUGAGUAAUUGUAAGCCUAGAUAAAUGAUAAGGCUCUGAUUUAUCAGGGACAGAAUCCGGCUUAUAGGUCUGCAUUUUUU